This 489-nucleotide ribosomal RNA is filed under the name uncultured bacterium. Its description in RNAcentral is "bacterial SSU rRNA". It matches the Rfam family "Bacterial small subunit ribosomal RNA", at positions 29 to 537 of the family's 1533-position model. The record is from RNAcentral.
AGUGAACGCUGGCGGCGUGCUUAACACAUGCAAGUCGAACGGAUCAAAGUAGCUUGCUACUUUGGUUAGUGGCGCACGGGUGAGUAAUGUAUAGCUAACCUGCCCUUUAGUGGGUGACAACAGUUGGAAACGACUGCUAAUACCCCAUACUCCUUCUUAUCAUAAGGUGAGUUGGGAAAGAUUUAUUGCUAAAGGAUGGGGCUUUAUUGUAUCAGCUAGUUGGUGGGGUAACGGCCUACCAAGGCGAUGACGCAUACCUGGUCUGAGAGGAUGAUCAGGCACACUGGAACUGAGACACGGUCCAGACUCCUACGGGAGGCAGCAGUGGGGAAUAUUGCACAAUGGAGGAAACUCUGAUGCAGCAACGCCGCGUGGAGGAUGACGCAUUUUCGGUGUGUAAACUCCUUUUAUAAGGGAAGAUAAUGACGGUACCUUAUGAAUAAGCACCGGCUAACUCCGUGCCAGCAGCCGCGGUAAUAUAGCGUACUU